This is a long non-coding RNA of Balaenoptera ricei (Rice's whale), 235 nucleotides long. RefSeq lists it as uncharacterized. The transcript has 3 exons. Lineage: Eukaryota; Metazoa; Chordata; Mammalia; Artiodactyla; Balaenopteridae. The record is from RefSeq and is a predicted model, not a curated record.
CAGUAUAUGGCUGCUUGAGCUUUUCCUCUGCACACAUGUGGUCAAGAGAUCUUCCCACUAGACAAUGGGCCCCUUGCAGGGGAUGAACUCUGUGGAAUAUCAAACAUCUGAACGAGAAGUGAAAAUUUCAUCAACCAUAGCUCCAGCUCUCAGAGGUAUCCAAGGAGUCAGACAAUAACUUUCAUUAAGAAACAGUGUAGGGCUUCCCUGGUGGCGCAGUGGUUGAGACUCUGCC